RNAcentral lists this ribosomal RNA (502 nucleotides) under uncultured bacterium. RNAcentral's name for it is "partial 16S ribosomal RNA". It matches the Rfam family "Bacterial small subunit ribosomal RNA", at positions 28 to 507 of the family's 1533-position model. The record is from RNAcentral.
GACGAACGCUGGCGGCGUGCUUAACACAUGCAAGUCGAACGGUGAAGGGGCCUGCUUUUGUGGGCCCUGGAUGAGUGGCGAACGGGUGAGUAACACGUGAGUAACCUGCCCCCUUCUUCUGGAUAACCGCAUGAAAGUGUGGCUAAUACGGGAUAUUCUGGGUCUGUCGCAUGAUGGGUCUGGGAAAGAUUGCGCCUUUGGGUGUUUUUGGUGGGGGAUGGGCUCGCGGCCUAUCAGCUUGUUGGUGGGGUGAUGGCCUACCAAGGCGGUGACGGGUAGCCGGGCUGAGAGGGUGGACGGUCACACUGGGACUGAGACACGGACCAGAAUCCUACGGGAGGGAGCAGUGGGGAAUAUUGCACAAUGGGGGCAAGCCUGAUGCAGCGACGCCGCGUGAGGGAUGGAGGCCUUCGGGUUGUAAACCUCUUUCGCAAGUGAAGCAGGGCUGCUACCUGUGGGUGGGUUGACGGUAGCUGGAUAAGAAGCGCCGGCUAACUACGUG